ACCUCAAAUCAGGUGGGACU
Molecule: ribosomal RNA, 20 nt
Filed under: Puccinia convolvuli
Lineage: Eukaryota; Fungi; Basidiomycota; Pucciniomycetes; Pucciniales; Pucciniaceae
Also listed under: 1 other name
Description: partial 28S rRNA
Source: RNAcentral